AACCCAACUGCACAAGCAGUUACUGUUAACUGAAUACAUAGGUUAACAGAGCAAACCGGGGGAACUGAAACAUCUAAGUACCCCGAGGAGAAGAAAUCAACCGAGAUUCCGGUAGUAGCGGCGAGCGAACCUGGAUUAGCCCUUAAGCACUCGGUGAAGUAGGUGAACAAGCUGGAAAGCUUGGCGAUACAGGGUGAUAGCCCCGUAACCGACGCUUCAUCGAGCGUGAAAUCGAGUAGGGCGGGACACGUGAUAUCCUGUCUGAAUAUGGGGGGACCAUCCUCCAAGGCUAAAUACUCCUGACUGACCGAUAGUGAACCAGUACCGUGAGGGAAAGGCGAAAAGAACCCCUGUGAGGGGAGUGAAAUAGAACCUGAAACCGUGUACGUACAAGCAGUAGGAGCACCUUCGUGGUGUGACUGCGUACCUUUUGUAUAAUGGGUCAGCGACUUAUAUUCAGUGGCAAGGUUAACCGUAUAGGGGAGCCGUAGCGAAAGCGAGUCUUAACUGGGCGCUCAGUCUCUGGAUAUAGACCCGAAACCGGGUGAUCUAGCCAUGGGCAGGUUGAAGGUUGAGUAACAUCAACUGGAGGACCGAACCGACUAAUGUUGAAAAAUUAGCGGAUGACUUGUGGCUAGGGGUGAAAGGCCAAUCAAACUCGGAGAUAGCUGGUUCUCCCCGAAAGCUAUUUAGGUAGCGCCUCGGACGAAUACUACUGGGGGUAGAGCACUGUUAAGGCUAGGGGGUCAUCCCGACUUACCAACCCUUUGCAAACUCCGAAUACCAGUAAGUACUAUCCGGGAGACACACGGCGGGUGCUAACGUCCGUCGUGGAGAGGGAAACAACCCAGACCGCCAGCUAAGGUCCCAAAGUAUUGCUAAGUGGGAAACGAUGUGGGAAGGCUCAGACAGCUAGGAUGUUGGCUUAGAAGCAGCCAUCAUUUAAAGAAAGCGUAAUAGCUCACUAGUCGAGUCGGCCUGCGCGGAAGAUGUAACGGGGCUAAGCAAUACACCGAAGCUGCGGCAAUGCCUUUUAGGUAUUGGGUAGGGGAGCGUUCUGUAAGCCGUUGAAGGUGGUCUGUAAGGGCUGCUGGAGGUAUCAGAAGUGCGAAUGCUGACAUGAGUAACGACAAAGGGGGUGAAAAACCUCCUCGCCGGAAGACCAAGGGUUCCUGUCCAACGUUAAUCGGGGCAGGGUGAGUCGACCCCUAAGGUGAGGCCGAAAGGCGUAAUCGAUGGGAAACGGGUUAAUAUUCCCGUACUUCUGACUAUUGCGAUGGGGGGACGGAGAAGGCUAGGUGGGCCAGGCGACGGUUGUCCUGGUUCAAGUGCGUAGGCUUAAGAGUUAGGUAAAUCCGGCUCUUUCUAAGGCUGAGACACGACGUCGAGCUGCUACGGCAGUGAAGUCAUUGAUGCCAUGCUUCCAGGAAAAGCCUCUAAGCUUCAGAUAGUCAGGAAUCGUACCCCAAACCGACACAGGUGGUCGGGUAGAGAAUACCAAGGCGCUUGAGAGAACUCGGGUGAAGGAACUAGGCAAAAUGGUACCGUAACUUCGGGAGAAGGUACGCUCUUGAUGGUGAAGUCCCUUGCGGAUGGAGCUGACGAGAGUCGCAGAUACCAGGUGGCUGCAACUGUUUAUUAAAAACACAGCACUGUGCAAAAUCGCAAGAUGACGUAUACGGUGUGACGCCUGCCCGGUGCCGGAAGGUUAAUUGAUGGGGUUAGCGCAAGCGAAGCUCUUGAUCGAAGCCCCGGUAAACGGCGGCCGUAACUAUAACGGUCCUAAGGUAGCGAAAUUCCUUGUCGGGUAAGUUCCGACCUGCACGAAUGGCGUAAUGAUGGCCACGCUGUCUCCACCCGAGACUCAGUGAAAUUGAAAUCGCUGUGAAGAUGCAGUGUACCCGCGGCUAGACGGAAAGACCCCGUGAACCUUUACUACAGCUUGGCACUGAACAUUGAACCUACAUGUGUAGGAUAGGUGGGAGGCUAUGAAGACGUGACGCUAGUUGCGUUGGAGCCGUCCUUGAAAUACCACCCUUGUAUGUUUGAUGUUCUAACUUAGCCCCAUUAUCUGGGGUGAGGACAGUGCCUGGUGGGUAGUUUGACUGGGGCGGUCUCCUCCCAAAGAGUAACGGAGGAGCACGAAGGUGGGCUAAUCACGGUUGGACAUCGUGAGGUUAGUGCAAUGGCAUAAGCCCGCUUAACUGCGAGAAUGACGGUUCGAGCAGGUGCGAAAGCAGGUCAUAGUGAUCCGGUGGUUCUGUAUGGAAGGGCCAUCGCUCAACGGAUAAAAGGUACUCCGGGGAUAACAGGCUGAUACCGCCCAAGAGUUCAUAUCGACGGCGGUGUUUGGCACCUCGAUGUCGGCUCAUCACAUCCUGGGGCUGAAGUCGGUCCCAAGGGUAUGGCUGUUCGCCAUUUAAAGUGGUACGCGAGCUGGGUUUAGAACGUCGUGAGACAGUUCGGUCCCUAUCUGCCGUGGGCGUUGGAAGAUUGAAGGGGGCUGCUCCUAGUACGAGAGGACCGGAGUGGACGAACCUCUGGUGUUCGGGUUGUGUCGCCAGACGCAUUGCCCGGUAGCUAAGUUCGGAAUUGAUAAGCGCUGAAAGCAUCUAAGCGCGAAGCGAGCCCUGAGAUGAGUCUUCCCUGAUACUUUAAGUAUCCUAAAGGGUUGUUCGAGACUAGAACGUUGAUAGGCAGGGUGUGUAAGCGUUGUGAGGCGUUGAGCUAACCUGUACUAAUUGCCCGUGAGGCUUAACCA
Molecule: ribosomal RNA, 2761 nt
Filed under: Vibrio cholerae
Lineage: Bacteria; Pseudomonadati; Pseudomonadota; Gammaproteobacteria; Vibrionales; Vibrionaceae
Description: 23S ribosomal RNA
Rfam family: Bacterial large subunit ribosomal RNA
Source: RNAcentral